Molecule: ribosomal RNA, 1123 nt
Filed under: uncultured bacterium
Lineage: Bacteria
Description: bacterial SSU rRNA
Rfam family: Bacterial small subunit ribosomal RNA
Source: RNAcentral
AUUGAUUUUAUGCUUGCAUAAAUGAUUUUUGGAUUCGGAGCGAGUGGCGAACUGGUGAGUAACACGUGGGUAACCUGCCCCGAAGCGGGGGAUAACAUUUGGAAACAAGUGCUAAUACCGCAUAAUUAGUUGGAACCGCAUGGUUCCAACUUGAAAGAUGGCUCUGCUAUCACUUUGGGAUGGACCCGCGCCGUAUUAGUUAGUUGGUGAGAUAAAAGCCCACCAAGACGAUGAUACGUAGCCGACCUGAGAGGGUAAUCGGCCACAUUGGGACUGAGACACGGCCCAGACUCCUACGGGAGGCAGCAGUAGGGAAUCUUCCACAAUGGACGAAAGUCUGAUGGAGCAACGCCGCGUGAGUGAUGAAGGUUUUCGGAUCGUAAAACUCUGUUGUUAAAGAAGAACAAGUGUUAGAGUAACUGUUAACACUUUGACGGUAUUUAACCAGAAAGCCACGGCUAACUACGUGCCAGCAGCCGCGGUAAUACGUAGGUGGCAAGCGUUGUCCGGAUUUAUUGGGCGUAAAGCGAGCGCAGGCGGUUUUGUAAGUCUGCUGUGAAAGCCCUCAGCUCAACUGAGGAAGUGCAGUGGAAACUACAAAACUUGAGUACAGAAGAGGAAAGUGGAACUCCAUGUGUAGCGGUGAAAUGCGUAGAUAUAUGGAAGAACACCAGUGGCGAAGGCGGCUUUCUGGUCUGUUACUGACGCUGAGGCUCGAAAGCAUGGGUAGCGAACAGGAUUAGAUACCCUGGUAGUCCAUGCCGUAAACGAUGAAUACUAGGUGUUGGAGGGUUUCCGCCCUUCAGUGCCGCAGCUAACGCAUUAAGUAUUCCGCCUGGGGAGUACGACCGCAAGGUUGAAACUCAAAGGAAUUGACGGGGGCCCGCACAAGUGGUGGAGCAUGUGGUUUAAUUCGAUGCUACGCGAAGAACCUUACCAGCUCUUGACAUCUUCUGCCAACCCAAGAGAUUGGGCGUUCCCUUCGGGGACAGAAUGACAGGUGGUGCAUGGUUGUCGUCAGCUCGUGUCGUGAGAUGUUGGGUUAAGUCCCGCAACGAGCGCAACCCUUAUUAUUAGUUGCCAGCAUUUAGUUGGGCACUCUAGUGAGACUGCCGGUGAUGAA